AUCGAACGCUGGCGGCAGGCCUAACACAUGCAAGUCGAACGAGUGGCGGACGGGUGAGUAAUGUCUGGGAAACUGCCUGAUGGAGGGGGAUAACUACUGGAAACGGUAGCUAAUCCCGCAUACCAUCGCUUGUGCCCAGAUGGGAUUUGCUAGGAGUUGGGGUAAAGGCUAACAUGGGCGACGAUCCCUAGCGGGUCUGAGAGGAAGACGGGCCACACUGGAACUGAGACACGGUCCAGAUUCCUACGGGAGGAAGCAUUGGGGAUUAUUGCACAAUGGGCGCAGGCCUGAUGAGGCAAGGCGGGGUAGAGGAAGAGGGCCUUCGGGUUGUAAAGUACUUUCAGCGGGGAGGCGUUAACCGAAGAAAAAGCAACGGCUAACUCCGUGCCAGCAGCCGCGGUAAUUC
This 406-nucleotide ribosomal RNA is filed under the name uncultured bacterium. Its description in RNAcentral is "partial 16S ribosomal RNA". It matches the Rfam family "Bacterial small subunit ribosomal RNA", at positions 29 to 526 of the family's 1533-position model. The record is from RNAcentral.